This 504-nucleotide long non-coding RNA is filed under the name Rhinolophus ferrumequinum (greater horseshoe bat). Its description in RNAcentral is "lncRNA (ENSRFEG00010016611.1)". Lineage: Eukaryota; Metazoa; Chordata; Mammalia; Chiroptera; Rhinolophidae. The record is from RNAcentral.
CAGCUGCAAGUCUCGGCCCGCUGCAGGAAAAUCAACAGAGCAGUGACUUGUGAGCACUAAUGCACUGAAACAGGGGAAGUGAAGCAAGCAAGUUGUUUUGGAGUGUCGAGGCCUGGUUGGGUGUCCACCACCAUCAGAGAAAGACAUGGAAGGGGUCAGGCUAUCACCCACUCUCCCCCGCGUGGAACAUCUUUCCUGGAACUUGCCGGACAGGCAGGCCUCCAAGACAUGACUCACAUUCUUUCUUAAUUUUUGACUCUGAGUACAUGACGACCAAAGCGAUCGAAACACAGUUAAAGCCCAUCCCUGCAUCUGCAGACUCUGAUGCAAUACCGAAGCAUAUUUACUGUUAACUUUCUGUUACACGGUGUAAACCCGUGGCUAGGGGCCUCACCUGGGUCUUUUGCACUGCCCACCAGUGUCACUGAGUCUCUCUGAUUUGCUGCACAUCCACUUUACUCAUCAACGAAUACUCAUAAAGCACCCACUGUGUGAUAUAGGCAU